AUUGGGCAAAGGCAAAGAAAAAAGUGAGAGAGAAAUGGGAGGAAAAAUAUCAAGUUAAAAAAAAAAAAAAAGUGGAAAACUUUAUGCCAAUUUGACAACAACGUCGUGGCCUUAGCUAGCCUCCACAGGAGAAGAAAAAGAGAACAAUCACAGUUGGAAAAUAUACUUUGAAAAUGGGCCCAUCAUCUUCUACAACAGAGGAGAGGAGAGAGAAAGUUAAAAGAGAGAAGCUUUACAUAGAAGAAAAGUAUUUUACAGAGACUUUUUCAACAGCCUUCAUCAUUAGCCUCACCAGUGACGAGGAUUGUUGUCUGCGAGCCUGAACUCGUGCAGGGAGAAGAAAAAAAAAGGGCCUUGAGUGGAUAAAAGUAAAAGGUUAGGGGUCAUAGUGUAACUAUUAGAAAAUAGAAGGUGCGGAUAGAUAAAUAAUAAGAAUGAGUCCAAAGAGGAGAGACGUAAUUGGUCAUUGGUGGUUUUGCUUGGCUGGUUAUGGAAAAUGGAGAACACGUAAUAUUUGAGAUUACACCAAAUGCGAUUAUUUUCAUUGACCAAGUCAUCAAUCAAUAGGUAACGACGACGUUUUAUGUCUUGUCAUUCUCCUAAAGAAGAGUUGUGCUUUUCUAAACCAUAUCCCAAAACCGAGUGUAACCAAAACAUUAAUUAGAGCUCUUGUUUCAACCGUCGAUAGAGUUUUUU
This is a long non-coding RNA of Arabidopsis lyrata subsp. lyrata, 696 nucleotides long. RefSeq lists it as uncharacterized. The record is from RefSeq and is a predicted model, not a curated record. NCBI's taxonomy places the organism in Eukaryota, Viridiplantae, Streptophyta, Magnoliopsida, Brassicales, Brassicaceae. The transcript has 2 exons.